Molecule: long non-coding RNA, 624 nt
Organism: Portunus trituberculatus (swimming crab)
Lineage: Eukaryota; Metazoa; Arthropoda; Malacostraca; Decapoda; Portunidae
Exons: 3
Source: RefSeq, a predicted model, not a curated record
GAGCUCCUCAACAUUCUCCAAAGUUUCCUGAGAGAACUUAGGGAUACUGGCUGGCUCCUCGAGGGUGCCUCAACACCGACUGACGAAUCCAAUAUCUGAGAUGCGGCAAGGCAGGACAGGGACUCGGGCGCCACCACCAAACUCAAUGUGAGAGGGAGUGGUGAUGGAAGGACCUUAGCGCCGGUGAGAGAGCUGAGGUGCGCUGCCGACGACAGUGUUCUUCAGGAUGUAUAUCGAGUUCCCAGGAAGUUUAUGGCGGGAGUUUUUUGGUUCGGAAACAAUGAAUGGGUUGUGCGUAACGAAGGAGGUUGUAAUCUUGAAAGCCACGAGGCCUACUUAGAAUAAAUUAUCUUGGUGAGUUGCUGUGAAAAGAUUGCGUGAUUUAGCAUCAAAUCUCAGGUUUUUGUGUGAGUUUUCCUUGUUACUUUUUUUCUAUUAUAUGAAUGUGUUUAAAUCAAUUAGUUUAGUGAAUAACUCUUAAAUAAUGCACCGGAUAUUAGGUUUUUGUGUGAUUUUACGGGAUAUGUUUUUCUAUUAAGUAAUAUUUUGAGUAGUAAGGGAGACUAGCUACCCAACCCUACCCAAAAGAAUGAAGAUAUCAUUAUAAAUGGACCUGUUCUCUAA